This 788-nucleotide long non-coding RNA is filed under the name Chinchilla lanigera (long-tailed chinchilla). Its description in RNAcentral is "lncRNA (ENSCLAG00000025242.1)". The record is from RNAcentral. Lineage: Eukaryota; Metazoa; Chordata; Mammalia; Rodentia; Chinchillidae.
AUUGAUGCACCUUUAUUUUGCAAUGGGUCCACUUGGGUUCAGAAAGAUUGAAUAAUUUGCACCGAGUCUCCUUGGAUUAAGCUGUGGACGUGGUGUAUCUUUGAUUCCAGAACUUUGGAUCUUAGCCUCAAGACAGUGCAUUCACUACUUUUGUAAACCGCAAUCCUGAGUGCACCUCCUAGGGAAGCUUUACUUGAAGUAUUUUCUCCUCUCUGCAUGUCUGAAUAUAGCUCAAGCAGUUGGUGUCACACAUGUCACGUCAGUAACAAGAGCCUUGUCAAAACCGCAAGCAGAGAGAAUUCUGUGCUGGCUGUUGUUCCCCAUGGAUUUCCAGAUACAGGGCUUCCGUAUUUCUCCGUACCACCCUUAGAGCCAGGUUUAUGUCCACUAUAAAAACCAUAGAGGCAGAAUUUGUUACUCUUCAUGCUGUGCAUAAAUUGUUGCUGACAGGCUUUUUGAAUGGUAUUAUCCUCUAAACAUCCUUCAGAGAAGUAAGUAUUUUACUCUCUCCACUCCAUUUUAAAUUCAAAAUUUUCAGCUUCAGGAAUUAACAAAAUCCAAGGAUGUCUUCUUGAUUUACUUUCUUCUCCACUUGUCACUAGCAAGUUAUUUCAGAAAUUUCCCCUUUUCAGAUUCAAAUGGGACAUCAUGAGUUGUUUCUUUCUUCCUCGUACGGUGAAAAUGAUUUAAAAUUAUCUAUAAUUCUAAAAACUCAUAAUCAGUACAACUUAAAAAUUUGAUGAAGAUUUAUAAAUAGGAUCCUUUGGCCUUUAUUAUCAGGCUCGUUG